Molecule: ribosomal RNA, 222 nt
Filed under: uncultured bacterium
Lineage: Bacteria
Description: partial 16S ribosomal RNA
Rfam family: Bacterial small subunit ribosomal RNA
Source: RNAcentral
GCCCUUCAGAAGGGGACAACAGUUGGAAACGACUGCUAAUACCGCAUACGAUCUGACCUCGGCAUCGAGGAUAGAUGAAAGGUGGCCUCUAUUUAUAAGCUAUCACUGAAGGAGGGGAUUGCGUCUGAUUAGCUAGUUGGAGGGGUAACGGCCCACCAAGGCGAUGAUCAGUAGCCGGUCUGAGAGGAUGAACGGCCACAUUGGGACUGAGACACGGCCCAG